GGUCCCAUCGUCUAGGGGCCUAAGACACAGCCCUUUCAAGGCUGUGGCGUGGGUUCGAAUCCCGCUGGGACCGCCA
This 76-nucleotide transfer RNA is filed under the name Synergistaceae bacterium. RNAcentral describes it as "tRNA-Glu". It matches the Rfam family "tRNA". From Rfam's summary of the family: Transfer RNA (tRNA) molecules are approximately 80 nucleotides in length. Their secondary structure includes four short double-helical elements and three loops (D, anti-codon, and T loops). Further hydrogen bonds mediate the characteristic L-shaped molecular structure. tRNAs have two regions of fundamental functional importance: the anti-codon, which is responsible for specific mRNA codon recognition, and the 3' end, to which the tRNAs corresponding amino acid is attached (by aminoacyl-tRNA synthetases). tRNAs cope with the degeneracy of the genetic code in two manners: having more than one tRNA (with a specific anti-codon) for a particular amino acid; and 'wobble' base-pairing, i.e. permitting non-standard base-pairing at the 3rd anti-codon position. The record is from RNAcentral. Lineage: Bacteria; Thermotogati; Synergistota; Synergistia; Synergistales; Synergistaceae.